RNAcentral lists this ribosomal RNA (565 nucleotides) under Rhizosphaera sp. FBCC2309. RNAcentral's name for it is "eukaryotic LSU rRNA". The stretch from base 198 to 351 matches the Rfam family "5.8S ribosomal RNA". The record is from RNAcentral. Lineage: Eukaryota; Fungi; Ascomycota; Dothideomycetes; Dothideales; Dothideaceae.
UGCGGAAGGAUCAUUAAAGAGAUAGGGUCUUCAUGGCCCGACCUCCAACCCUCUGUUGUUAAAACUACCUUGUUGCUUUGGCGGGACCGUCUCGGUCUCCGAGCGCACUAACCCUCGGGUUGGUGAGCGCCCGCCAGAGUCCAACCAAACUCUUGUAUUAAACCAGUCGUCUGAGUAUAAAAUUUUAAUUAAAUUAAAACUUUCAACAACGGAUCUCUUGGUUCUCGCAUCGAUGAAGAACGCAGCGAAAUGCGAUAAGUAAUGUGAAUUGCAGAAUUCAGUGAAUCAUCGAAUCUUUGAACGCACAUUGCGCCCCUUGGUAUUCCGAGGGGCAUGCCUGUUCGAGCGUCAUUACACCACUCAAGCAUCGCUUGGUAUUGGGAACGGUCCGUCGCAAGGCGGGCCUUCCUCGAAGACCUCGGCGGGGUUCAACCAACUUCGGGCGUAGUAGAGUUAAAUCGAACGUCUUAUAAGCUUGGUCGGAUCUCAUUGCCGUUAAACCUUUAAAUUUUCUAGGUUGACCUCGGAUCAGGUAGGGAUACCCGCUGAACUUAAGCAUAUCAAU